GCACCUGUGAUGUAGUGGUUUAGCAUGUCUGUCUUAUAGUCUAACCGUUUUCGGUUACGCCUAUGAUAGUUAUCAGAAUGUCGUGAGUUCAAUCCUCACCAGGUGCA
Molecule: non-coding RNA, 107 nt
Organism: Xylaria telfairii
Lineage: Eukaryota; Fungi; Ascomycota; Sordariomycetes; Xylariales; Xylariaceae
Source: the annotation of a GenBank genome assembly